UAAAAUACAAAUUCCGGACCUUUAUCCUAGUAUCUACUUCCGCUUUCUGCAUGAAGAAGAGGGGGAGGGGCGAGCCAAUCGUCACUACGUUCAUUUCCGAAGUAUUCCGAUCUUACCCGAUCCUCCUGCACUGGCUUUGGAGCUGCUGUUUGCGCUGCGUGUCCUUUAACAUCCAACACCGUCCUCUCUGACAGCGUCUACACCAUGGUGGACAUUUUGGUGUUGAUGUUUUUCGCCAUCAUGGGCCUUGUCUUUCUCUCCUACAUCAUCUACAUGCUAUGAUGAGGCGACGCGGUGCAGGAAGGAUGAGUGUUUUUCCUCAUCUGCAUCCCUGGUUUCCAUCAUGGACCAUGGUAGAAGAGAUGGCUUUCCAUUGGAGGUUUCCCGUGGGAUGUGAGGAGUGAUCCAGCUCAGAAGGAAAACAAAUGGAUAAGCAGAAGAAGCCAAACUUUCUGCCUGACUGUCUCCCUUUUGCACUGUCAUCACACUGUCAGCCUCCUCCUUUCUAGGAUUUCUCCAGUUUGGCCAAGACUCUCCACCCCAAUUACCUGUCUUUAACCAAUCUGUGGGUUUUGUACAAUCAUGCAUGUUUAUUUUCUUUGUAGAGGGGAAGACAUUGUCACUGCUGCACAAUUCCCUGUGAAUGCAGAAUGGUUGAGACGGUUUAAUACAGGUGUAGAGUUUGCCUUUUAAUAUCACUGUGAUGGUGUGUAGGAUGCAUGCAGGGUGUGCAGCCAACCUCUACUUAUGCUUUGUUUUGUUUGUUUUGUGUCACAGAGAGGCCCUGUGUGGUUCCCGCCCGUCCUCAGUAUUAAUAUCAAGGUUUUAAUAUCUUGCCAAUAUGUUAUGCUCAUCACAACAGUCAGGAUUUCCCCAAAGGUCAAAGGGGCAUGUGUCAAUACAACAUUUCUGCCACAACUCUCUGUUAAUGGUUAAAAUCAGUACCACAAUAUCCUCAACACUGGCAAAUACAAUACAGUAACGUCUAUUAUUUGUUGGAUUUUGUUUGUAACCGACAUGCAUAAAGCAAACAGUGUUAUAUUAUACCUCACCUGUUAUUAUUAUCAUUAUAGUAUUAUACCUCCUUGUUCUGUUGCAUAUAAAUAUAUUUAAGUUUACUGAUGCACAAAGGAUUUUGGGAGUUAAUUGCAGUAUUUCACAUAUUAUGACAAAUAAAGAAGAUUUCUGUACA
Molecule: long non-coding RNA, 1192 nt
Organism: Sphaeramia orbicularis (orbiculate cardinalfish)
Lineage: Eukaryota; Metazoa; Chordata; Actinopteri; Kurtiformes; Apogonidae
Exons: 2
Source: RefSeq, a predicted model, not a curated record